Molecule: long non-coding RNA, 257 nt
Filed under: Lathyrus oleraceus (garden pea)
Lineage: Eukaryota; Viridiplantae; Streptophyta; Magnoliopsida; Fabales; Fabaceae
Description: Pisum sativum (pea) long non-coding RNA (PSAT_LNC025552)
Source: RNAcentral
GAACCUUUUCUAUAAACAUAAUUUAUGAUACAAAUCAUUCAAAGUAUUUCACUAAACAUGAAUCCUACCUAAAUAAUUUCCAGACCGUAGAAUCCGGUUUGGAAUCAUCAUCUUCCACCUCAUAUACCACUUGUAAACCCCCUAAACUUAUCCUCUAACCAUUUCAUGGCUCUAACCCAUUAGAAUGGAUUUUCCCAGUAGGCCAGUACUUCAACCAUUAUUCUAUCGAACACCUAAUCGCUUCUCUCGCAUCUCAA